GAUUUCUGGCUUGAAACACUAAGCCGGCCACGGUUUCGUGUGUUAGUGCUUGGUGUUCUGGCCAUCCUUCCAAUCGCCAUCUACUUCUCUUCAUUGAUUAGUAGGUGGUAUUGGAUCUUUUACUUUGAAAAAAUUAGAGUGUUUAAAGCAGGCUUGCGGCUAUGAAUACAUUAGCAUGGAAUAAUAAUUUAGGACUUUUGUCUUAUUUUGUUGGUUUCUAGGACUUAAGUAAUGAUUGAUAGGGACAGUUGGGGGUGCUAGUAUUCAGCGGCCAGAGGUGAAAUUCUUGGAUUCGCUGAAGACUAACUUAUGCGAAAGCAUU
This 322-nucleotide ribosomal RNA is filed under the name Sandonidae sp. Its description in RNAcentral is "SSU rRNA". It matches the Rfam family "Eukaryotic small subunit ribosomal RNA", at positions 634 to 955 of the family's 1831-position model. The record is from RNAcentral. Lineage: Eukaryota; Cercozoa; Glissomonadida; Sandonidae.